Molecule: transfer RNA, 77 nt
Filed under: Falsochrobactrum ovis
Lineage: Bacteria; Pseudomonadati; Pseudomonadota; Alphaproteobacteria; Hyphomicrobiales; Brucellaceae
Also listed under: 1 other name
Description: tRNA-Pro
Rfam family: tRNA
About the family: Transfer RNA (tRNA) molecules are approximately 80 nucleotides in length. Their secondary structure includes four short double-helical elements and three loops (D, anti-codon, and T loops).
Source: RNAcentral
CGGAGCGUAGCGCAGUCUGGUAGCGCACCUGAUUUGGGAUCAGGGGGUCGGAGGUUCGAAUCCUCUCGCUCCGACCA